GUGCUCGCUUCGGCAGCACAUACACUCAAAUUGGAACGAUACAGAGAAGAUUGGCAUGGCCCCUGCACAAGGAUGGCACACAAAUUCGUGAAAAAUGCUUCAAAAAA
Molecule: small nuclear RNA, 107 nt
Organism: Phyllostomus discolor (pale spear-nosed bat)
Lineage: Eukaryota; Metazoa; Chordata; Mammalia; Chiroptera; Phyllostomidae
Source: RefSeq, a predicted model, not a curated record